RNAcentral lists this ribosomal RNA (582 nucleotides) under uncultured bacterium. Its description in RNAcentral is "bacterial SSU rRNA". It matches the Rfam family "Bacterial small subunit ribosomal RNA", at positions 102 to 694 of the family's 1533-position model. The record is from RNAcentral.
ACGGCGUAGUAAUGCAUCGGAACGUACCCUCUGGUCGGGGAUAGCUACGGGAAACUGUAGGUAAUACCCGAUGAUCUCUGCGGAGCAAAGGUGAGAUUCCGCCGGAGGAGCGGCUGAUGUGAUAUUAGCUAGUUGGUGGGGUAAUGGCCUACCAAGGCGAUGAUGUCUAGGGGGUGUGAGAGCAUGGCCCCCACGACCGGAACUGAGAUACUGUCCGGACACCUACGGGUGGCUGCAGUCGAGAAUCUUCCGCAAUGGACGAAAGUCUGACGGAGCGACGCCGCGUGCGGGAUGAAGGCCCUUGGGUUGUAAACCGCUGUCAGAGGGGAUGAAAUCUUCGGAGGUACUCCUCCGACGUUGACAGAGCCUCAAAGGAAGCACGGGCUAAGUACGUGCCAGCAGCCGCGGUAACACGUACUGUGCGAACGUUAUUCGGAAUCACUGGGCUUAAAGGGUGCGUAGGCGGCGAAUCAAGUCAGGUGUGAAAGGCCUGAGCUCAACUGAGGCAUUGCGCUUGAAACUGAUUUGCUUGAGUAUCCCAGGGGUGUGCGGAACUGCCAGUGGAGCGGUGAAAUGUGUUGA